GGUUAAGCGACUAAGCGUACACGGUGGAUGCCUAGGCAGUCAGAGGCGAUGAAGGGCGUGCUAAUCUGCGAAAAGCGUCGGUAAGGUGAUAUGAACCGUUAUACCCGACGAUACCCGAAUGGGGAAACCCAGUGUGUUUCGACACACUAUCAUUACAUGAAUACAUAGUGUAAUGAGGCGAACCGGGGGAACUGAAACAUCUAAGUACCCCGAGGAAAAGAAAUCAACCGAGAUUCCCCCAGUAGCGGCGAGCGAACGGGGAAGAGCCCAGAACCAGCAUCAGCUUGUGUGUUAGUGGAAGCGUCUGGAAAGUCGCACGGUACAGGGUGAUAGUCCCGUACACAAAAAUGCACAAGUUGUGAGUUCGAUGAGUAGGGCGGGACACGUGACAUCCUGUCUGAAUAUGGGGGGACCAUCCUCCAAGGCUAAAUACUACUGACUGACCGAUAGUGAACCAGUACCGUGAGGGAAAGGCGAAAAGAACCCCGGCGAGGGGAGUGAAAUAGAACCUGAAACCGUGUACGUACAAGCAGUGGGAGCCUACUUGUUAGGUGACUGCGUACCUUUUGUAUAAUGGGUCAGCGACUUAUAUUUUGUAGCAAGGUUAACCGAAUAGGGGAGCCGUAGGGAAACCGAGUCUUAACUGGGCGUCAAGUUGCAAGGUAUAGACCCGAAACCCGGUGAUCUAGCCAUGGGCAGGUUGAAGGUUGGGUAACACUAACUGGAGGACCGAACCGACUAAUGUUGAAAAAUUAGCGGAUGACUUGUGGCUGGGGGUGAAAGGCCAAUCAAACCGGGAGAUAGCUGGUUCUCCCCGAAAGCUAUUUAGGUAGCGCCUCGUGAACUCAUCUUCGGGGGUAGAGCACUGUUUCGACUAGGGGGCCAUCCCGGCUUACCAACUCGAUGCAAACUACGAAUACCGAAGAAUGUUAUCACGGGAGACACACGGCGGGUGCUAACGUCCGUCGUGAAGAGGGAAACAACCCAGACCGCCAGCUAAGGUCCCAAAGUCAUGGUUAAGUGGGAAACGAUGUGGGAAGGCUUAGAC
Molecule: ribosomal RNA, 1048 nt
Filed under: Pseudomonas syringae
Lineage: Bacteria; Pseudomonadati; Pseudomonadota; Gammaproteobacteria; Pseudomonadales; Pseudomonadaceae
Description: partial 23S ribosomal RNA
Rfam family: Bacterial large subunit ribosomal RNA
Source: RNAcentral